Molecule: unclassified non-coding RNA, 1004 nt
Filed under: Hevea brasiliensis (rubber tree)
Lineage: Eukaryota; Viridiplantae; Streptophyta; Magnoliopsida; Malpighiales; Euphorbiaceae
Source: RNAcentral
AGGACCCUGGAACAACCCAGAAAUUAUAGAAAUUCUUCAGGCAGUAUCCGCGACUAAAGAAGUAUACAAUAAUGGGGAAAACAGUGGUCUGGAUUCAGAUGAGGCACAGUUUCUUGCCUAUUAGGCAUCGCAGGACAAUGGCCAAAAUAAAGGGGCCAAUGCCACCUCCGCAACAGAAGAAGAUUUAGAGUACAAGGAAACGACAUUCGUUGAGAAGCAUCAGGCUCAGAAAAUCCAGGCACUGGAAGCAGCACUUGCAAACGCCAGUCUUGUAAGAAAAGUUCACACGUCAUAUGCUUUAAAUCCCCUGCAAAAUUCUGAUGCUUGAUGAUCUUCGCAUACCAGAAAUUCAAAUCAUUGGAAAUAGUUCUUGAGGACACCAAGAAGGUAUUGAAAGAACUUGAGCAACACAUAGAAGCACUGAGAAUUUAACAUAACAAGAGAAGUUAUCAUACCAGCUGGAACAAUGAGGCGCGUUGAUCCUAAGUAUGUUUGUUCAGGUGUACCCCGUGACAACUGAUCAGAGGCAGAGCUAUGUUGGGACCAGAGAUGGCCAUGUCCCAAUGGUUCUCUCAAAUGUGCUUGUAAAUGUGAUGUGAUUCUCCUCACUAUCAUUUCACUGGGAAGACAUUGCCUCCCCACAUUGGACAGGAUAUGGCUUUUAGCAUAAGGCAAUUAUGUGAUUCUACUGUGUCAAUGAAUUGGGUAUUAUCAUGAUCAUCAUAUUGGUAACACUACUCUCUAUUCUUUAUUUUUGGACCCAUUGAAUUGUUUAGUUACUUGAGAUUAAAUUUAUAUAUAAUUAAUAUUAUAAUUUAUUUAAAUUAAAAAAUAUAUUAUUACUUAAGCAAGAAGCAAGCUCAUUAGACAGGUAGUCAAAGUUUCAUUCCACCUGUAAUGUCUCAUGAGCUUUAUUACUGGACGAACAAUUUUUUUUUCAUUAAUUAAUAUUUUAAUUAAAUCGUAUUAUUUUAUAUAAUCAACUUUUAAUAUUUUUAAAGCUA